Molecule: long non-coding RNA, 613 nt
Filed under: Vigna radiata
Lineage: Eukaryota; Viridiplantae; Streptophyta; Magnoliopsida; Fabales; Fabaceae
Description: long non-coding RNA (VRAD_LNC007219)
Source: RNAcentral
GGAUAAACCCUGUGCGUAUCCGGUUCCAGGUGUUCUUGUUGUUUGCAGUUCUUUGCAUGGUAGCCAAAGGAGCGUUCCGGUAGCAGUCACCGGUUGGCCAGAGCUUCCUUCCUUGGUCCGUCGCCACAGCUAGCAAGGUGAAGUGUGUUUAGGGUCGUGCAUGGGUGAUGGUACCAACCAUCUUCUUCACGGUGGCGGCUUGGUGAUUCUUUUGGUUGUCGUUUGCGACGCGGUGGUGGUUCUAGGUUCUCCGUGAUGGCGAAGUUGGCAGUGGCCUGCUGAAGUGAUGAUGAUGGUUGCGCGAUGGUGGAUGGUGGUCUGCGAGGAAGAAGACUCGCGACGACAAUUUGGACUGGUGCUUGCUCACAGAAGAUUGGGUGGUGGCGUGAAGCUUCGUGAUGGUCGGCGAGCACGCCGGCGACGGUGGCUGGCAGCGGCUUGAAGGUUGACGGUGGUGGCUUUAGGGUGGCUGACGGCUAUGGGUGUUGAGCGGCGGCAUGGUGGUGAGAAACAUGGUCGCAGAUGAUGGAGGCGCUGUGCGACGGCUUGCUGGUGGUGCGCGAUGUGGCUGCCAUGGAGGAGGCGGCGGCUAGGGUUUGGCAAGAGAAUUAGG